Molecule: unclassified non-coding RNA, 196 nt
Filed under: uncultured fungus
Lineage: Eukaryota; Fungi
Description: sequence contains ITS1, 5.8S rRNA gene
Source: RNAcentral
CAUGAUUACCUUUCAAACAAACUGUGAACUUUAAAUUUUACUAUUCGUGUGCUUGUAACUACUCUAAACCAGUCGUUUUCAUGUCACACUGUCAUUCGAUGAACAUUAGAUAGCUGGCUUGUUUUCAACAAACUUUCUCAGCUGAUUGUUUUGUACUGACUAAACAUCUUACAACAAUCACCAACAAACAUAGUAA